GACGAACGCUGGCGGCGUGCUUAACACAUGCAAGUCGAACGGAAAGGCCCUGCUUUUGUGGGGUGCUCGAGUGGCGAACGGGUGAGUAACACGUGAGUAACCUGCCCUUGACUUUGGGAUAACUUCAGGAAACUGGGGCUAAUACCGGAUAGGAGCUCCUGCUGCAUGGUGGGGGUUGGAAAGUUUCGGCGGUUGGGGAUGGACUCGCGGCUUAUCAGCUUGUUGGUGGGGUAGUGGCUUACCAAGGCUUUGACGGGUAGCCGGCCUGAGAGGGUGACCGGCCACAUUGGGACUGAGAUACGGCCCAGACUCCUACGGGAGGCAGCAGUGGGGAAUAUUGCACAAUGGGCGGAAGCCUGAUGCAGCAACGCCGCGUGCGGGAUGACGGCCUUCGGGUUGUAAACCGCUUUCGCCUGUGACGAAGCGUGAGUGACGGUAAUGGGUAAAGAAGCACCGGCUAACUACGUGCCAGCAGCCGCGGUGAUACGUAGGGUGCGAGCGUUGUCCGGAUUUAUUGGGCGUAAAGGGCUCGUAGGUGGUUGAUCGCGUCGGAAGUGUAAUCUUGGGGCUUAACCCUGAGCGUGCUUUCGAUACGGGUUGACUUGAGGAAGGUAGGGGAGAAUGGAAUUCCUGGUGGAGCGGUGGAAUGCGCAGAUAUCAGGAGGAACACCAGUGGCGAAGGCGGUUCUCUGGGCCUUUCCUGACGCUGAGGAGCGAAAGCGUGGGGAGCGAACAGGCUUAGAUACCCUGGUAGUCCACGCUGUAAACGGUGGGUACUAGGUGUGGGGUCCAUUCCACGGGUUCCGUGCCGUAGCUAACGCUUUAAGUACCCCGCCUGGGGAGUACGGCCGCAAGGCUAAAACUCAAAGGAAUUGACGGGGCCCCGCACAAGCGGCGGAGCAUGCGGAUUAAUUCGAUGCAACGCGUAGAACCUUACCUGGGUUUGACAUGGAUCGGGAGUGCUCAGAGAUGGGUGUGCCUCUUUUGGGGUCGGUUCACAGGUGGUGCAUGGCUGUCGUCAGCCCGUGUCGUGAGAUGUUGGGUUAAGUCCCGCAACGAGCGCAACCCUUGUUCACUGUUGCCAGCACGUUAUGGUGGGGACUCAGUGGAGACCGCCGGGGUCAACUCGGAGGAAGGUGGGGAUGACGUUAAGUCAUCAUGCCCCUUAUGUCCAGGGCUUCACGCAUGCUACAAUGGCUGGUACAGAGAGUGGCGAGCCUGUGAGGGUGAGCGAAUCUCGGAAAGCCGGUCUCAGUUCGGAUUGGGGUCUGCAACUCGACCUCAUGAAGUCGGAGUCACUAGUAAUCGCAGAUCAGCAACGCUGCGGUGAAUACGUUCCCGGGGCUUGUACACACCGCCCGUCAAGUCAUGAAAGUUGGUAACACCCGAAGCCGGUGGCCUAACCGUUGUGGGGGAGCCGUCGAAGGUGGGACUGGUGAUUAGG
RNAcentral lists this ribosomal RNA (1444 nucleotides) under uncultured bacterium. RNAcentral describes it as "16S ribosomal RNA". It matches the Rfam family "Bacterial small subunit ribosomal RNA". The record is from RNAcentral.